CCCUGCCCUUUGUACACACCGCCCGUCGCUGCUACCGAUUUUGAGUGGUCCGGUGAACCUUCUGGACUGUGCUGGAGCUUGACUCCAGCGUAGGAAGUUAAGUAAACCUUAUCACUUAGAGGAAGCAA
This 128-nucleotide ribosomal RNA is filed under the name uncultured eukaryote. RNAcentral describes it as "partial small subunit ribosomal RNA". It matches the Rfam family "Eukaryotic small subunit ribosomal RNA", at positions 1651 to 1785 of the family's 1831-position model. The record is from RNAcentral.